Molecule: non-coding RNA, 119 nt
Filed under: Aureoumbra lagunensis
Lineage: Eukaryota; Pelagophyceae; Sarcinochrysidales; Sarcinochrysidaceae
Source: RNAcentral
ACGUCAUUAGUCAUAAGAUAUGAUGAAGAUGAAUUUUCAACAAAAUAUAUGACAACGAUUGGUGUCGACUACCGGGAUAAAUUUAUUCAAGUAGAAGGUCGAGAAAUCAAGUUACAAAU